GACGAACGCUGGCGGCGUGCUUAACACAUGCAAGUCGAACGAGACGAUUGAAAGCUUGCUUUUAAAAGUCGAGUGGCAAACGGGUGAGUAACGCGUAAACAACCUGCCUUUGAGAUGGGGACAACAGUUCGAAAGGACUGCUAAUACCGAAUGUUGUAUAUUUUCCACAUGGAAGAUAUAUUAAAGAUGGCCUCUAUUUAUAAGCUAUCGCUCAAAGAUGGUUCUGCGUCUGAUUAGCUGGUUGGUGGGGUAACGGCCUACCAAGGCGACGAUCAGUAGCCGGUCUGAGAGGAUGAACGGCCACAUUGGGACUGAGACACGGCCCAGACUCCUACGGGAGGCAGCAGUGGGGAAUCUUCCACAAUGGACGAAAGUCUGAUGGAGCAACGCCGCGUGAGUGAAGAAGGGUUUCGGCUCGUAAAGCUCUGUUGUCGGGGACGAAUGUGCAGUAUUUGAAUAAAGUACUGCAAUGACGGUACCUGACGAGGAAGCCACGGCUAACUACGUGCCAGCCGCCGCAGUAA
RNAcentral lists this ribosomal RNA (524 nucleotides) under uncultured bacterium. Its description in RNAcentral is "partial 16S ribosomal RNA". It matches the Rfam family "Bacterial small subunit ribosomal RNA", at positions 28 to 523 of the family's 1533-position model. The record is from RNAcentral.